GGAAUCUUCCACAAUGGGCGGAAAGCCUGAUGGAGCAACGCCGCGUGUGUGAUGAAGGGUUUCGGCUCGUAAAACACUGUUGUAAGAGAAGAAUGACAUUGAGAGUAACUGUUCAAUGUGUGACGGUAUCUUACCAGAAAGGAACGGCUAAAUACGUGCCAG
This 162-nucleotide ribosomal RNA is filed under the name uncultured bacterium. RNAcentral describes it as "partial 16S rRNA". It matches the Rfam family "Bacterial small subunit ribosomal RNA", at positions 358 to 511 of the family's 1533-position model. The record is from RNAcentral.